Molecule: ribosomal RNA, 253 nt
Filed under: uncultured bacterium
Lineage: Bacteria
Description: partial 16S ribosomal RNA
Rfam family: Bacterial small subunit ribosomal RNA
Source: RNAcentral
UACAGAGGGGGCCAGCGUUAUUCGGAAUUAUUGGGCGUAAAGGGCGCGUAGGCGGCCAUGCGUGUCUUCCGUGAAAUCCCUCGGCUUAACUGAGGACGUGCGGAAGAAACUGCAAGGCUUGAGUCCGGGAGAGGGGGGUGGAAUUCCCAGUGUAGCGGUGAAAUGCGUAGAUAUUGGGAGGAACACCGGUGGCGAAGGCGGCCCCCUGGACCGGUACUGACGCUGAGGUGCGAAAGCGUGGGGAGCAAACGGG